AACUUAGAUUAUUUCUGUUUUAUUAAUUAUCUGAGGCUGAUCUCGGAAGCUAAGGAGGGUCGUGCCUGGUCAGUAUUUGGAUGGGAGAUGGCCUGGGAACAGCAGGUGCUGUAGGUUU
Molecule: ribosomal RNA, 118 nt
Organism: Amphilophus citrinellus (Midas cichlid)
Lineage: Eukaryota; Metazoa; Chordata; Actinopteri; Cichliformes; Cichlidae
Source: Ensembl